RNAcentral lists this ribosomal RNA (487 nucleotides) under uncultured bacterium. RNAcentral's name for it is "bacterial SSU rRNA". It matches the Rfam family "Bacterial small subunit ribosomal RNA", at positions 29 to 507 of the family's 1533-position model. The record is from RNAcentral.
AUGAACGCUAGCGGCAGGCUUAACACAUGCAAGUCGAGGGGCAGCAUAAUGGAUAGCAAUAUCUAUGGUGGCGACCGGCGCACGGGUGCGUAACGCGUAUGCAACCUACCUUUAACAGGGGGAUAACACUGAGAAAUUGGUACUAAUACCCCAUAAUAUCAUAGAAGGCAUCUUUUAUGGUUGAAAAUUCCGAUGGUUAGAGAUGGGCAUGCGUUGUAUUAGCUAGUUGGUGAGGUAACGGCUCACCAAGGCGACGAUACAUAGGGGGACUGAGAGGUUAACCCCCCACACUGGUACUGAGACACGGACCAGACUCCUACGGGAGGCAGCAGUGAGGAAUAUUGGUCAAUGGACGCAAGUCUGAACCAGCCAUGCCGCGUGCAGGAUGACGGCUCUAUGAGUUGUAAACUGCUUUUGUACUAGGGUAAACUCACCUACGUGUAGGUGACUGAAAGUAUAGUACGAAUAAGGAUCGGCUAACUCCGUG